GUGUCAGCAGCCGCGGUAAUACGUAGGUGGCAAGCGUUGUCCGGAUUUAUUGGGUUUAAAGGGUGCGUAGGCGGUCUAUUAAGUCAGCGGUGAAAUACUCCAGCUUAACUGGAGGGGUGCCAUUGAUACUGAUGGACUUGAGUCAAGUCGAGGUAGGCGGAAUUGACGGUGUAGCGGUGAAAUGCUUAGAUAUCGUCAAGAACACCAAUAGUGAAGACAGCUUACUGGGCUUAAACUGACGCUGAGGCACGAAAGUGUGGGGAUCAAACAGGAUUAGAAACCCCAGUAGUCC
RNAcentral lists this ribosomal RNA (292 nucleotides) under uncultured bacterium. RNAcentral's name for it is "partial 16S ribosomal RNA". It matches the Rfam family "Bacterial small subunit ribosomal RNA", at positions 505 to 796 of the family's 1533-position model. The record is from RNAcentral.